AGCGAACGUUUGCGGCGGGCUUAACACAUGCAAGUCGAACGAGAAUCCCUUCGGGGAGGAAAGUGGCGCACGGGUGCGUAACACGUGGGUAACCAACCCAUUGGUUUGGGACAACACCGGGAAACUGGUGCUAAUACCAGAUGUGUCGCAGCUGUCUUCAGGCGGUUGCGGGAAAGGCCCGCAAGGGUCGCCAACGGACGGGUCCGCGUCCCAUCAGCUAGUUGGUGAGGUAAUGGCUCACCAAGGCAAAGACGGGUAGCUGGUCUGAGAGGAUGAUCAGCCACACUGGAACUGAGACACGGUCCAGACUCCUACGGGAGGCAGCAGUGGGGAAUAUUGCGCAAUGGGCGAAAGCCUGACGCAGCCAUACCGCGUGUGUGAAGAAGGGCCUCGGUUGUAAGGUACAC
This 407-nucleotide ribosomal RNA is filed under the name uncultured bacterium. RNAcentral describes it as "bacterial SSU rRNA". It matches the Rfam family "Bacterial small subunit ribosomal RNA", at positions 29 to 435 of the family's 1533-position model. The record is from RNAcentral.